This 562-nucleotide ribosomal RNA is filed under the name uncultured bacterium. RNAcentral's name for it is "partial 16S ribosomal RNA". It matches the Rfam family "Bacterial small subunit ribosomal RNA", at positions 355 to 1375 of the family's 1533-position model. The record is from RNAcentral.
UGGGGAAUAUUGGACAAUGGGCGCAAGCCUGAUCCAGCCAUGCCGCGUGAGUGAUGAAGGCCUUAGGGUUGUAAAGCUCUUUCGCCGGUGAAGAUAAUGACGGUAACCGGAGAAGAAGCCCCGGCUAACUUCGUGCCAGCAGCCGCGGUAAUACGAAGGGGGCUAGCGUUGCUCGGAAUCACUGGGCGUAAAGCGCACGUAGGCGGAUCGUUAAGUCAGGGGUGAAAUCCUGGAGCUCAACUCCAGAACUGCCCUUGAUACUGGCGAUCUCGAGUUCGAGAGAGGUUGGUGGAACUCCGAGUGUAGAGGUGAAAUUCGUAGAUAUUCGGAAGAACACCAGUGGCGAAGGCGGCCAACUGGCUCGAUACUGACGCUGAGGCGCGAAAAGCGUGGGGAGCAAACAGGAUUAGAUACCCUGGUAGUCCACGCCGUAAACGAUGGAUACUAGCCGUUGGGGGGUUUACCUCUCAGUGGCGCAGCUAACGCCUUAAGCAUCCCGCCUGGGGAGUACGGUCGCAAGAUUAAAACUCAAAGGAAUUGACGGGGUCAUAGCUGUUUUCCU